GAUGAAGAACGCAGCGAAAUGCGAUAAGUAAUGUGAAUUGCAGAAUUCAGUGAAUCAUCGAAUCUUUGAACGCACAUUGCGCCCGCCAGCAUUCUGGCGGGCAUGCCUGUUCGAGCGUCAUUUCAACCCUCGAGCCCCCCCGGGGGCCUCGGUGUUGGGGGACGGCACACCAGCCGCCCCCGAAAUGCAGUGGCGACCCCCCGCAGCCUCCCCUGCGUAGUAGCACACACCUCGCACCGGAGCGCGGAGGCGGUCACGCCGUAAAACGCCCAACUUUCUUAGAGUUGACCUCGGAUCAGGUAGGAAUACCCGCUGAACUUAAGCAUAUCAAUAAGCGGAGGA
This 342-nucleotide unclassified non-coding RNA is filed under the name soil metagenome. RNAcentral describes it as "partial contains 5.8S ribosomal RNA, internal transcribed spacer 2, and large subunit ribosomal RNA". The stretch from base 1 to 120 matches the Rfam family "5.8S ribosomal RNA", at positions 35 to 154 of the family's 154-position model. The record is from RNAcentral.